GAUCAACGCUGGCGGCGCACAUAAGACAUGCAAGUUGAACGGACUUAAUCGAAAUAUUUAUAUUUUGAAGCGGUUAGUGGCGGACUGGUGAGUAACGCGUAAGGAACCUGCCUAUUAGAGGAGAAUAACAGUGAGAAAUCAUUGCUAAUACCGCAUAUGCCAUAGAUAUCACAUGAUAACAGUGGGAAAGGAGCAAUCCGCUAAUAGAUGGCCUUGCGUCUGAUUAGAUAGUUGGUGGGGUAACGGCCUACCAAGUCGACGAUCAGUAGCCGGACUGAGAGGUUGGACGGCCACGUUGGGACUGAGGUACGGCCCUGACUCCUGCGGGAGGAGGCAGUCGGGAAGAAUGAGCAAUGGAGGAAACUCGGACGCAGUGACGCCGCGUAUAGGAAGAAGGUUUUCGGAUUGUAAACUAUUGUCGUUAGGGAAGGGAAAGGACAGUACCUAAGGAGGAAGCUCCGGCUAACUACGUG
This 473-nucleotide ribosomal RNA is filed under the name uncultured bacterium. Its description in RNAcentral is "partial 16S ribosomal RNA". It matches the Rfam family "Bacterial small subunit ribosomal RNA", at positions 28 to 507 of the family's 1533-position model. The record is from RNAcentral.